RNAcentral lists this transfer RNA (74 nucleotides) under Neotoma lepida (desert woodrat). It matches the Rfam family "tRNA". From Rfam's summary of the family: Transfer RNA (tRNA) molecules are approximately 80 nucleotides in length. Their secondary structure includes four short double-helical elements and three loops (D, anti-codon, and T loops). Lineage: Eukaryota; Metazoa; Chordata; Mammalia; Rodentia; Cricetidae. The record is from Rfam by way of RNAcentral.
UUAAAUGUAGCCCAGUGAGUAGAGUGCUUGCCUAGCAUGCAUGAAGCACUGGGUUCGAACUCCCAGCACCUUAU